RNAcentral lists this ribosomal RNA (465 nucleotides) under Vreelandella stevensii. RNAcentral's name for it is "partial 16S ribosomal RNA". It matches the Rfam family "Bacterial small subunit ribosomal RNA", at positions 338 to 795 of the family's 1533-position model. The record is from RNAcentral. Lineage: Bacteria; Pseudomonadati; Pseudomonadota; Gammaproteobacteria; Oceanospirillales; Halomonadaceae.
CCUACGGGUGGCUGCAGUGGGGAAUAUUGGAUAAUGGGGGGAACCCUGAUCCAGCCAUGCCGCGUGUGUGAAGAAGGCCCUCGGGUUGUAAAGCACUUUCAGUGAGGAAGAACGCCUGGUGGUUAAUACCCAUCAGGAAAGACAUCACUCACAGAAGAAGCACCGGCUAACUCCGUGCCAGCAGCCGCGGUAAUACGGAGGGUGCGAGCGUUAAUCGGAAUUACUGGGCGUAAAGCGCGCGUAGGUGGCUUGAUAAGCCGGUUGUGAAAGCCCCGGGCUCAACCUGGGAACGGCAUCCGGAACUGUCAAGCUAGAGUGCAGGAGAGGAAGGUAGAAUUCCCGGUGUAGCGGUGAAAUGCGUAGAGAUCGGGAGGAAUACCAGUGGCGAAGGCGGCCUUCUGGACUGACACUGACACUGAGGUGCGAAAGCGUGGGUAGCAAACAGGAUUAGAUACCCGAGUAGUC